RNAcentral lists this long non-coding RNA (4624 nucleotides) under Podarcis lilfordi (Lilford's wall lizard). The record is from RNAcentral. Lineage: Eukaryota; Metazoa; Chordata; Lepidosauria; Squamata; Lacertidae.
CACUCACACAAUUAUUUGGAUACCACCACAUGGCUCUUCAUUAGAAGAAGAAGAAAUGUAAUAUUGCUAACUAACCAGAGGUUCUCCAGAUCUUUUGUGAAGCUGCAGGAACUACAUCUCUUGAGUCACAUAGACAGAAAUGACUCACUAGGUGGGAAAGGAAAAGUUUCCAGAUCUGAUGCCUGAGGCUGGACGGCUUCCAGGUUGCUGUCAUCCUUUGACUAGGUAGAUGUAUUUGAGAAAUGGGGGGAAUGAAGGUGGAAUUGGGAGAGCAAGGAGUUCUCCAGCCUCCUUGAUGGUCACAGUGACACACAGGAGUGCUAUAGAGGCUAAGCACAGGUGAGUUAAAUUGAAUCUUGUCUGCAUUGAGCCUGAUUUAGCUCCUUUGACAUGAUUCUGUUCUGAGCUGAGAGAAAGGGAGUUAUGUCAAGGAGACAGUUAAUACAUCAGUGUGGGGAAGAUAUGCAUUGUAAGAACAGAUUUCGCAAACUGGGGAAAAACAUAUUUCAGUGGUCGAGUGUCUGGUUUUUUAAAAGUUUUUAUUUAUACUUUUCAAAUUUAUACAUUUCAUUAGUUUUACAAUCAAUUUCACAUUUCAAAAUUUGUCUUCCUUCCCCCUCUUUCUGCAGUUCCUUAAAUUUAUUUUUUAAUAUCUUCUGCAUAUCCAAAUUCACUUAGCUUGCCCAUUUAAUUAUCUGCUGUAACUAUAUACUCUUAUGAAACUGCAGGCUAUUACAAUAAUCCUGCCAAUGUUUUCCCAGCUUCUCGAUUUUUCGCCCAUGCUUAGCUUCAGUUCUCCACAAUUCCCCAUCUGUGUGGUCACAAAAAUACACCAGCAUUUUAGUGCAAAUUUCUCCUAACACAUCUUUGCAUGCACUUCUGCCUAAUACAAUGCAUCUUGCAUGUUAUUUUCACAAAUAUAUUUAUUUCUGUGCACAUUUUACUGCAAUGUGUGCAUUUCUGCACAAAUCACCUGACUGGAGAACCACAUUGCGAAAAUUCGGAGAAGCACGAGUUUCUAAGAAUGGCUGGGUUUCAGUUCAUGUAUUGUGUGGAACAUGCAGAUAGGGUAGAGUUGCCUGCAGAAGUGAACUGAAUUGAAUUUCUCCCCCCCACCCAUCCUCCCCCCCAAGGGACAUGGGGAACCAUCUCUGACUCCUGCUUUGAGCCUUUGCUCCUCAGGUGGCAAAGCAUCUUAGGCCGACAUUGUUUCAGAGCGAAGGAAAUGCAAUGACAGAGAGGAGGGAAUUAAUAAGCAUUGCUCGCCUCAGCUUUAGCUUCCAUUAACAUUAACCCGACGCAUUGGAAGCGUGCUGCAGUUAGAGAGGUAAUUACAAUAAACAGAUUCCAUUUGGAACCCGCAAUCCAAAUGUGAGUGGUGCAGGGGGAGAAAGACCUGCGUUUGGGAGAAUGUUGUUAUUUGCCUGGAAAGUCAGAGAGACGUGUUGGCAGGCGAUAGCUAGUGGGCCAUUCCUCUUUUGAGCUAAGUUGUUUUUUCGGCAACUGUGUUAUUCUGCCCUCCCUGCUCCCCGCAAAUGCAUCUUUCGCCUUCUGCAAUCAAGCUUUUGAUAGCUGAAUGCCACAAAGCUCAAGAGUUGUGUCUGUGAUUAAGAUGCAAUGCCUCUUCCAUUCAGAAAGAAUAACAGAAUUGUAGAGUCGUUAAUUAAUGUUCCCAGCCCUGAGUCUGAUCUGGCUUGCAGCAGUUCCCAAACUCUCGGGUGGAAGUCUUCUCCAAGCUCUGAUGGCAAAGGUCUUUUUAAAAUGGAGAUGUUGAAGUUUGGUCGAGGGACAUCAGUUUUUGAGCUAUGGCCUCACUCCAAGUGCAAAUUUCAACACGGCACCUCCCAGUGAUGUGCACUGAUGCCAACAAGCACUUAUCGGCAGAUCUGCUGUGAUGUUUAAGAGGCACUUAGUCUGCGCUUUGGCUAAGAGCCCAUCCGCGUUUAGUGCAUCCAAACCAAAUAUGGAUAGGCCUUGCAGCCCUUGGAGGCAUAGCAAAUGCAUGCGCCAAGCAUGUUCAUCCUGGCCACCACAUGGAACACCACUGCAUGCAAGGGUUGAAGGAGUUGGGUGCGUUUAGCCUGCAAAAGAGGAGGCUGAGAGGAGAUAUAAUAGCCAUCUUCAAAUAUCUGAAGGACUGUUACAUGGAAGAUGGAGCAAGCUUGCUUUCUCCUGCUCUGGAGGGUAGGACUCGAAGUCACAAGAAAGGAGAUUCUGACUCAACAUCAGCAAUAACUUUCUGGUAGUAAAGAGCUAUUCGACAAUGGAACGGUCUCCCACAGGAGGCUGUGGACUCUUCUUCCUGGGAGGUUUUUCAGCAGAGGGUGGAUGGCCAUCUGUCAUGGAUGCUUUAGCUGAGAUUCUUGCAUUUUAGGGGCUUGGACUGGAUGACCCUCAGGGUCCCUUCCAACUCUACAAUUCUAUGAUUCUCAUCCCCACCCCCAUCCUCAUGGCUGGUUAGGAUUAUGUCCUCUUAGAAAGAAACACACCAGGCCUACUGAAGCACAUCAAAGGAGUCCCUUUUCCAGUGAUCUUAUGCCACGGCACAAUAUAAUUAGUUUUAAUCAUAGCAUUGUCAUUUUCCCUCAAACAGAGCAAGCAGAAAUGGGGAUCAGACAUCCAGAAUUUAAUCGAAUAACUUCCCCGCAUCCACGGAGACAGGCUUUGUUUAGAUUCAGCUGACCUCCCCGUCAACUCCUCAAAGUUAAAUGAGCUCUUAAAAAAAAAGUUUGGGGUUCUUUCCCCCCCCUCAAAAAAAAAUCACCUGGUUAAUAUUGAAGAGCCUGGCCUUAAUUGCUCGUCACUGGUAAUCAGAUAGUCGUAGCUAUGGUGAUGUCCUUAAAUGGAAUGGAAUGAAAGAGUGGUUACAAACAAUGACUUUCAUUCAUUCUGAAGGACUUGAUGGACAACCUGAUCAUUUCAUAUACAUAUGUACUUAAGGUAUGAUGGAUGUGGUUGUUUUUUUUUUUUUUAAAUAGACAGUGUUAUCAAUAGAGCCUGACGGCACAAAGUAAAAGAAUGGAAUGUAGGAAGAUAGGAAGCUGCCUUAUAGCAAGUCAGACCAUUGGUCAAACCAGCUCACUAACCUCAAGGUUAGAUUACUGCAGCACAUUGUGUAUGGGGCUGCCUCUGAAGCCAGCCAGCUGGAGACGUUAGUCGCCAAACCUGGCGAUCAGACAUCCCCACUUCCUCUCUAAAGGCUGGUUGCCUGUCAUGAAAUGUGGCUGGCUCCUGGUUAGUUUUGAACGCUGUUGGCCAUACACAAAGUAGCCACUAUCAGUUGCUUUGGAUGUGUUGCAAAGACUUAGCUUUUUGCCCAGGCCGUCCCUGACCCAUGAGUGCUUUUUUUAUUCAUUGUUGCUGUUUAGUCGUUUAGUCGUGUCCGACUCUUCGUGACCCCAUGGACCAGAGCACGCCAGGCACUCCUGUCUUCCACUGCCUCCCGCAGCUUGGUCAAACUUACGUUGGUAGUUUCGAGAACACUGUCCAACCAUCUCGUCCUCUGUCGUCCCCUUCUCCUUGUGCCCUCCAUCUUUCCCAACAGGGUCUUUUCCAGGGAGUCUUCUCUUCUCAUGAGGUGGCCAAAGUAUUGGAGCCUCAGCUUCAGGAUCUGUCCUUCCAGUGAGCACUCAGGGCUGAUUUCCUUCAGAAUGGAGAGGUUUGAUCUUCUUGCAGUCCAUGGGACUCUCAGGAGUCUCCUCCAGCACCAUGAUUCAAAAGCAUCCUCCAAAUUCAUUGCUUUUCGGUGUUGUAUGCUUUUAUACCACCAUUUUACUGGGUUUAUGUUGUAUUUUUGUUUCAACGAUGCUCUCUGUUGCUUCUAUGUUGUACACCACUUAGAGACGCUUAAAAUAUUAAGCAGUUUAUAAUUGCUUUUAAAUAAAUAAGUGACAUGGGGUAAACAUGAUAUGGACUUACUCGAAAUGUGAAACCGAGAUACCACAUAGUGAUUCUACAGGGUUACCCGAGCUUAUUCUGUAACCUAACUAAAGACACAGCAGAACGUUGACUUUGGUCACUUGCCAUCUUUUGAAAGAUGGUUAGGUUUGCACAUCUUGUAAACACUUAUCUAUUUGCCCAGGCUUUCCAUGCACCCUGUUUUAUGUGUGCAAAUUAAGUCAUUUCUCAUUAAAAUGCAAACAAAAACAAACUCUCCACCCCAAAAGGAAACUAGUGUGGCUCCUGAAACAGAUUUUGCCCUGGUGCCUCUAUGUUAUGGGCCUAGCCUUAGUGAUGUCUAGUGAAGACAUCUGAAGACUGCCCUGUUUAGGGAAGUUUUUAAUGUCUGACGUUUUAUUGUGUUUUUAAUACUCUGUUGGGAGCUGCCCAGAGUGGCUGGAGAAACCCAGCCAGAUGGGCGGGGUAUAAAUAAUAAAAUUAUUAUUGUUCUUGUUGUUAUCUGGUGCUUUCCAGAUGUUUUGAACUACGUAUAGCUCCCAUCAGCGCGGGCCAACACAGCCAUGCUAGCUGAGACUGAUAAGAACUAUAGUCUGAAACACACCAUUUAGACUUUGGUUAUACAUUAUGAAGAAACCCUUUCUGGGACCCCAAAUUUAAAUUCUUUUUUUUUUUUUAAUGAUAUUUAUUGGAAUUUUUUUUUUAAUUACAAAAGAGAACAAAGUAG